GAAAUGCGAUACGUAAUGUGAAUUGCAGAAUUCAGUGAAUCAUCGAAUCUUUGAACGCACCUUGCGCCCCUUGGAAUUCCGAGGGGCACACCCGUUUGAGUGUCGUGAACAUCCUUCAACCUUUCUUUGGUUUCUUGACCAGGGAAGGCUUGGACUUUGGGGGUCUUUCAUUGCUGGCCUCUUUGAAGCCGGCUCCUCCUAAAUGGAUUAGUGUGGUCUGCUUUGCCGAUCCUUGACGUGAUAAGAUGUUUCUACGUCUUGGGUUUCGCACAGUUGCUUCAGACCCCGCUUCUAACCGUCUUGCAUUCAAGACAGAGUUUUAAACCUUGACCUCAAAUCGGGUGAGACUACCCGCUGAACUUAA
This 364-nucleotide ribosomal RNA is filed under the name Russula sp. 329-652. RNAcentral's name for it is "eukaryotic LSU rRNA". The stretch from base 1 to 105 matches the Rfam family "5.8S ribosomal RNA", at positions 50 to 154 of the family's 154-position model. Lineage: Eukaryota; Fungi; Basidiomycota; Agaricomycetes; Russulales; Russulaceae. The record is from RNAcentral.